Molecule: ribosomal RNA, 258 nt
Filed under: uncultured Actinomycetales bacterium
Lineage: Bacteria; Bacillati; Actinomycetota; Actinomycetes; Actinomycetales
Description: partial 16S ribosomal RNA
Rfam family: Bacterial small subunit ribosomal RNA
Source: RNAcentral
CCCCCUUGUGGGGUACUCGAGUGGCGAACGGGUGAGUAACACGUGAGUAACCUACCCUUGACUUUGGGAUAACUUCAGGAAACUGGGGCUAAUACCGGAUAGGAGCUCCUGCUGCAUGGUGGGGGUUGGAAAGUUUCGGCGGUUGGGGAUGGACUCGCGGCUUAUCAGCUUGUUGGUGGGGUAGUGGCUUACCAAGGCUUUGACGGGUAGCCGGCCUGAGAGGGUGACCGGCCACAUUGGGACUGAGAUACGGCCCAG